Molecule: ribosomal RNA, 392 nt
Filed under: uncultured bacterium
Lineage: Bacteria
Description: partial 16S ribosomal RNA
Rfam family: Bacterial small subunit ribosomal RNA
Source: RNAcentral
AUACGGAGGAUCCGAGCGUUAUCCGGAUUUAUUGGGUUUAAAGGGUGCGCAGGCGGCCAUUUAAGUCAGCGGUUAAAUCGUGGGGCUCAACCCCAUUCUGCCGUUGAUACUGGGUGGCUUGAUUGCGGUCGAGGUUGGCGGAAUUCGUUGUGUAGCGGUGAAAUGCAUAGAUAUGACGAAGAACACCGAUUGCGUAGGCAGCUGGCCAGACCGCAAAUGACGCUCAUGCACGACAGUGCUGAGAUCGAACAGGAUUAGAUAGCCUGGUAGUCCGCACAGUAAACGAUGAAUACCUGACUUCGGCGAUAUAAUGUCGGAGGCAAAGCGAAAACGAUAAGGAUUCCACCGGGGGAGUACGCCAGCACCGGGGAAACUCAAACGAAGUCACGGGU